RNAcentral lists this ribosomal RNA (229 nucleotides) under uncultured bacterium. Its description in RNAcentral is "partial 16S ribosomal RNA". It matches the Rfam family "Bacterial small subunit ribosomal RNA", at positions 568 to 796 of the family's 1533-position model. The record is from RNAcentral.
UGCGUAGGCGGAGUAUUAAGUCAGUGGUGAAAUCCUGCAGCUCAACUGUAGAAUUGCCAUUGAUACUGUUAUUCUUGAGUAUAGUUGAGGUGGGCGGAAUGUAUCAUGUAGCGGUGAAAUGCUUAGAUAUGAUACAGAACACCGAUUGCGUAGGCAGCUCACUAAACUAUUACUGACGCUGAGGCACGAAAGCGUGGGGAGCGAACAGGAUUAGAUACCCUGGUAGUCC